Molecule: non-coding RNA, 45 nt
Organism: Schistosoma mattheei
Lineage: Eukaryota; Metazoa; Platyhelminthes; Trematoda; Strigeidida; Schistosomatidae
Source: Rfam
AUCCAGCUAACGAGUUCCAAACAGAACGAAAUGUGCAACCUGGAU